GACAGAGGGGGCAAGCGUUGUCCGGAAUUACUGGGCGUACAGGGCACGCAGGUGGCUGCACAGGUGGCGUGUGAAAGCCCCGCGCUUAACGCGGGGAGGCCACGCCAAACGGUGCGGCUCGAGCGAUGCAGAGGGUGGUGGAAUUGCCGGUGUAGUGGUGAAAUGCGUAGAGAUCGGCAGGAACACCAAGGACGAAGGUAACCACCUGGGCAUCAGCUGACACUCAUGUGCGACAGCGUGUGGAGCGAACCGG
This 253-nucleotide ribosomal RNA is filed under the name uncultured bacterium. Its description in RNAcentral is "partial 16S ribosomal RNA". It matches the Rfam family "Bacterial small subunit ribosomal RNA", at positions 524 to 776 of the family's 1533-position model. The record is from RNAcentral.